UCUGACUGAAGGAUGGAGGUGCUGAAUAA
This 29-nucleotide non-coding RNA is filed under the name Homo sapiens (human). Lineage: Eukaryota; Metazoa; Chordata; Mammalia; Primates; Hominidae. The record is from RNAcentral.